CGCCUGGUAGCGGGGGAUAACUAUUGAAACGAUAGCUAAUACCGCAUAACAGUAGAUAUCGCAUGAUAGCUGCUUGAAAGGUGCAAAUGCAUCACUACCAGAUGGACCUGCGUUGUAUUAGCUAGUUGGUGAGGUAACGGCUCACCAAGGCAACGAUACAUAGCCGACCUGAGAGGGUGAUCGGCCACACUGGGACUGAGACACGGCCCAG
This 211-nucleotide ribosomal RNA is filed under the name uncultured bacterium. RNAcentral describes it as "partial 16S ribosomal RNA". It matches the Rfam family "Bacterial small subunit ribosomal RNA", at positions 127 to 334 of the family's 1533-position model. The record is from RNAcentral.